This 388-nucleotide ribosomal RNA is filed under the name uncultured bacterium. RNAcentral describes it as "bacterial SSU rRNA". It matches the Rfam family "Bacterial small subunit ribosomal RNA", at positions 30 to 417 of the family's 1533-position model. The record is from RNAcentral.
AUUGAACGCUGGCGGCAUGCCUUACACAUGCAAGUCGAACGGCAGCACGGGAGCAAUCCUGGUGGCGAGUGGCGAACGGGUGAGUAAUAUAUCGGAACGUGCCCAGUCGUGGGGGAUAACGUAGCGAAAGCUACGCUAAUACCGCAUACGAUCUAUGGAUGAAAGCGGGGGAUCGCAAGACCUCGCGCGAUUGGAGCGGCCGAUAUCAGAUUAGGUAGUUGGUGAGGUAAAGGCUCGCCAAGCCGACGAUCUGUAGCUGGUCUGAGAGGACGACCAGCCACACUGGGACUGAGACACGGCCCAGACUCCUACGGAGGCAGCAGUGGGGGAAUUUUUGGACAAUGGGCGCAAGCCUGAUCCAGCAAUGCCGCGUGCAGGAUGAAGGCCU